Leptinotarsa decemlineata (Colorado potato beetle) is the source of this 361-nucleotide long non-coding RNA. Lineage: Eukaryota; Metazoa; Arthropoda; Insecta; Coleoptera; Chrysomelidae. The record is from RefSeq and is a predicted model, not a curated record.
AGAUAUCUCUCUUACGAUUACACAAACUGUAAUUUUUUGCAAUUUUUUGAAUACUGAUUGAAUGGUAUGUGUACCAGAAACUUCGAAGUACACAUAGAUAUUGAAAAAUCUCCAUAAAUCCAUGUGCAUGAUCUGCAGAUCUUUGUGAAGAGUGUUAAUUGAUAUAUUCAAUUACAUCUUCAUUUCUUCGAGUUUCCCACUGUCUAUAUAAUGAUAGAGAAGUAGAAAGUAUGUAGCUGUAUUAAAAUAAAUCGGCGCGAAAAGAAGAAAUAAUUGAAAUUUGUAGUUGUCAAACACGUUAGAAAUUUAUAAACUCAGUGAUUUUGUUGAUAAGAUGUAAAAUAAAUAACUACUAAGAAAA